Podarcis lilfordi (Lilford's wall lizard) is the source of this 1301-nucleotide non-coding RNA. Lineage: Eukaryota; Metazoa; Chordata; Lepidosauria; Squamata; Lacertidae. The record is from the annotation of a GenBank genome assembly.
GUGCUUUUCAGGUGGCCUUGCAGGCCAGCCAUGAACCCCAUCUGGGUCCAGCCCCAUGUUUACCUGCCCCACACUUGACAUCACAUAUGAUGUGAGCUGUAAGACAGAGGUGUGGUGGACUUGCAUCUGGGUGGGAUAUACUAUAGAGUGGCAAGCUUUUACUGUUAAAAUAUCAGCAGCCCGUGGUGGUCACAGCUUCACCUGGCAUUGGGACUAGCAUAGGAAUGACGGUCCUCCUGUUGUGCCAUGUUUGGCAUGGCAGAGACACCAAAAUGCCCUUCCUCUGGUGCUUCCUCCUACAGAUGGGUGGAUGGGAGUUGCCUUCUUGAAUUGCACUAUGAUUUGAGUCAACAAGACCUGUGUAGAUCGUAUAAGAUAUCUUGGCCGAUGCUCCAGUAGCACUUUAGAAGCCAAGCUUUGUUUGCUGUGUACAUACUGGCUGCAAUGUGCUCUGGCAUCUGAGCAAAGCCAGCCAUUUGACCAGAUCAUUCAAGAGGAGCCGUCCAGAGUUUCCUACAGAAGAAACAAGAUCUCGCUUGGCAAGCGUCCAGGUAACUCCAUCCACUGCAAUCUGUAAAUCAAAGAUGGUGACCCUGUGGCCCUCCAGAUAUUGCUGGACUACAGCUUCCAUUAUCCCAGGCCACUGGCCAUGCUGGUUGGGGGUUGGUGGAAGUUGGAAUCCACCAUCUGGAGGGUCAUGGGUACCCUAUCCCUACAGAGAAAGCCUUAUUGUCAGGAUCUGCAACACCUUCUCUAAUUAGACCUUCAGCCCAGAAAACUAGCUAUGUGCCCAAGUGGGAAACCCGUCUUGGCUCUGAACUUCCAAAUGAAGUUUGGAACAACACUACUAAAUGGUACACUGAAUAUAAACAGAACAUUUACAAAGCACUAAUUUCCUGGUACUUGAUGCCAGGGACACCCAGUCUAAAAAGAUGCUUAGAUUCAUAAUAUGUGGAUAAGCUGUCCAUUGACCCAGAACUUCUGGAUUCAAAUCCUUACCACCCUCAGAAAUAUUACAGACAAAAUGGUAGAACAAGGACAGGGAGCAUGUGGCCCUCCAGAUAUUAUUGUUGGAUUCCAGCUCCCAUCAGCCAAUAUGGCCAAUGUUCAGUGGCAUUGGCCCUAGAAAUAUAACCGACUGGUUUUUCCUUUACCCUCACUACAGCUUUCUAAAAUCAAGAAUACUGCGAGCGAAACAGAGGAAUCACCACCAGAACCAAUCCUACAAGAAGAUGAGAACCCCUCCUUUAAAAAAAUCUGUUUCAAGAAACACAAAUAAAACAUAAUUAAAAUGAGAAGGC